RNAcentral lists this ribosomal RNA (244 nucleotides) under uncultured bacterium. Its description in RNAcentral is "partial 16S ribosomal RNA". It matches the Rfam family "Bacterial small subunit ribosomal RNA", at positions 533 to 776 of the family's 1533-position model. The record is from RNAcentral.
CCCAAGCGUUAUCCGGAUUCAUUGGGUUUCAAGGGUGCGUAGGCGGGCCUAUAAGUCAGUGGUGAAAGCCCUUCGCUUAACGAAGGAAUUGCCAUUGAUACUGUAGGUCUUGAGUACAGUUGAGGUGGGCGGAAUGUGUCAUGUAGCGGUGAAAUGCUUAGAUAUGACACAGAACACCGAUGGCGAAGGCAGCUCGCUAAACUGUAACUGACGCUGAGGCACGAAAGCGUGGGUAGCAAACAGG